UGAGGAAUCUUCCGCAAUGGGGGCAACCCUGACGGAGCAAUGCCGCGUGCAGGAUGAAGCGUUUCGGCGUGUAAACUGCUUUUAAACGGGAUGAUUAUGACAGUACCGUUAGAAUAAGGUCCGGCUAACUACGUGCCAGCAGCCGCGGUAAUACGUAGGGGCCAAGCGUUAUCCGGAAUUACUGGGCGUAAAGCGUCUGUAGGCGGUCAUUCAAGUUAUGUGCGAAAUCCUGCGGCUCAACCGUAUGGAC
This 250-nucleotide ribosomal RNA is filed under the name uncultured bacterium. Its description in RNAcentral is "partial 16S ribosomal RNA". It matches the Rfam family "Bacterial small subunit ribosomal RNA", at positions 355 to 622 of the family's 1533-position model. The record is from RNAcentral.